UGGUCAAUAGCCUAACGGCUGAACCAGCAAUUUGGGGGAAUGUAUAGUAUAUACUAAUUGUAUUUUAAAUACAAUAUCGACUAUGUCGAAUAAAGUUCUAGAUAGAAUACUGAUAAUGACAAUUUUCUAUCUAUAUGUCUUGACCAAAUCACGUGCCAGCAGUCGCGGUAAUACGUGGAAGACUAGUGUUAUUCAUCUUUAAUAGGUUUAAAGGGUACCUAGACUGUAUUUCUAGCCCAAAUAGGGUACGGAUUUACUAGAGUUUAAUGUAAGAAGAAAAAAUUAAGAGUGAAAUUUUAAUUUCAUUUUUUGUAGUACUUGAAGUGUAGAGAUAAAAUUUUGUAAUACUUUAAGGAAACUGGUGAUGCGAAAGCAACCUUCUAUGUAUAAACUGACGUUGAGGGACGAAGGCUUGGGUCGCGAAUAGGAUUAGAUACCCUAGUAGUCCAAGCAGAAAAUUAUGAAUGUCAUAGAUCAGAUAUAUUUUGGUUUAUAAAUGAAAGUGUAAGCAUUCCACCUCAAGAGUAAUGCGGCAACGCAGGAACUGAAAUCAUUAGACCGUUUCUGAAACCAGUAGUGAAGUAUGUUAUUUAAUUCGAUAAUCCGCGAAAAACCUUACCACAAUUUGAAUAUAAAAAUUACAAGCGCUGCACGGCUGUCUUCAGUUAAUGUCGUGAGAUUUUGGUUAGUUCCAUUAAAUUAACGUAAACCCUUGCUUUAUUUAUAAUAUUUAUAUAAAGUAGCUCACCGCUAUAUUGGAUAUGAUAAAAGGGAAUAAGACAAGUCAUCAUGGCCUUAAUAUUGUGGGCUAUA
This 813-nucleotide ribosomal RNA is filed under the name Sarea resinae. RNAcentral's name for it is "SSU rRNA". It matches the Rfam family "Bacterial small subunit ribosomal RNA", at positions 365 to 1218 of the family's 1533-position model. Lineage: Eukaryota; Fungi; Ascomycota; Sareomycetes; Sareales; Zythiaceae. The record is from RNAcentral.